UACGUAGGGUGCAAGCGUUGUCCGGAAUUAUUGGGCUUAAAGCGCGCGCAGGUGGUUCCUUAAGUCUGAUGUGAAAGCCCACGGCUCAACCGUGGAGGGUCAUUGGAAACUGGGGAACUUGAGUGCAGAAGAGGAAAGUGGAAUUCCAAGUGUAGCGGUGAAAUGCGUAGAGAUCCGGAGGAACCCCAGAGGCGAAGGCGGCCCCCUGGCUCGUAACUGACGCUCAGGCACGAAAGCAUGGGGAGCGAACGGG
RNAcentral lists this ribosomal RNA (253 nucleotides) under uncultured bacterium. RNAcentral describes it as "partial 16S ribosomal RNA". It matches the Rfam family "Bacterial small subunit ribosomal RNA", at positions 524 to 776 of the family's 1533-position model. The record is from RNAcentral.